GCAACCGAUUUAACAGGCCACUGAUAGGCGGCACCAAAGGUGCCAUUCCCAUGGGCGGCACCGGUGGUGCCAUUCCCAUGGGCGGCACUGCUCUUAUAAUGGGGACCAUUCGGCUGGUGGGUGGGGGGAACAGAAGGAGAGGGAAAGAAGAAGAAAGAAAUAAAGAAAAAGAAGGAAAGAAAACGAAAGGAGAAGAAGAAAAAAUAAUGAAAAAUAAGGAAAGAAAAGGAAAGGAGAAGAGAAAAAAAAAAGAAGAAGAAGAGGGGAGGAAGGAAAAAGAAAGAAAGAAAAGGUAAUUUUUUAUUAUUAAUUUUAUUUUAUUUUGUAAUAUUUGUGUGUAAAAAAAUUAUGUUAUAUACAUUAUACGUGUUUUAUUAUGUUAUUUAGC
This 388-nucleotide long non-coding RNA is filed under the name Gossypium raimondii (Peruvian cotton). RNAcentral's name for it is "long non-coding RNA (GRAI_LNC010407)". The record is from RNAcentral. Lineage: Eukaryota; Viridiplantae; Streptophyta; Magnoliopsida; Malvales; Malvaceae.